AGGACGAACGCUGGCGGCGUGCUUAACACAUGCAAGUCGAACGGUAAGGCCCUUCGGGGUACACGAGUGGCGAACGGGUGAGUAACACGUGGGUAAUCUGCCCUGCACAUCGGGAUAAGCCUGGGAAACUGGGUCUAAUACCGAAUAGGACCACAGAACACAUGUCCUGUGGUGGAAAGCUUUUGCGGUGUGGGAUGGGCCCGCGGCCUAUCAGCUUGUUGGUGGGGUGAUGGCCCACCAAGGCGACGACGGGUAGCCGGCCUGAGAGGGUGUCCGGCCACACUGGGACUGAGAUACGGCCCAGACUCCUACGGGAGGCAGCAGAAGGG
This 329-nucleotide ribosomal RNA is filed under the name uncultured Mycobacterium sp. Its description in RNAcentral is "bacterial SSU rRNA". It matches the Rfam family "Bacterial small subunit ribosomal RNA", at positions 26 to 359 of the family's 1533-position model. Lineage: Bacteria; Bacillati; Actinomycetota; Actinomycetes; Mycobacteriales; Mycobacteriaceae. The record is from RNAcentral.